Molecule: ribosomal RNA, 491 nt
Filed under: uncultured bacterium
Lineage: Bacteria
Description: partial 16S ribosomal RNA
Rfam family: Bacterial small subunit ribosomal RNA
Source: RNAcentral
GUGAACGCUGGCGGUAGGCCUAACACAUGCCAGUCGAACGGCAGCACAGUAAGAGCUUGCUCUUACGGGUGGCGAGUGGCGGACGGGUGAGGAAUACAUCGGAAUCUACUUUUUCGUGGGGGAUGACGUAGGGAAACUUACGCUAAUACCGCAUACGACCUACGGGUGAAAGCAGGGGAUCUUCGGACCUUGCGCGAUUGAAUGAGCCGAUGUCGGAUUAGCUAGUUGGCGGGGUAAAGGCCCACCAAGGCGACGAUCCGUAGCUGGUCUGAGAGGAUGAUCAGCCACACUGGAACUGAGACACGGUCCAGACUCCUACGGGAGGCAGCAGUGGGGAAUAUUGGACAAUGGGCGCAAGCCUGAUCCAGCCAUACCGUGUGGGUGAAGAAGGCCUUCGAGUUGUAAAGCCCUUUUGUUGGGAAAGAAAAGCAGCAGGUUAAUACCCCGCUGUUCUGACGGUACCCAAAGAAUAAGCACCGGCUAACUUCGUG